Molecule: ribosomal RNA, 253 nt
Filed under: uncultured bacterium
Lineage: Bacteria
Description: partial 16S ribosomal RNA
Rfam family: Bacterial small subunit ribosomal RNA
Source: RNAcentral
UACGGAGGAUCCGAGCGUUAUCCGGAUUUAUUGGGUUUAAAGGGUGCGUAGGCGGCCUAUUAAGUCAGGGGUGAAAGACGGUAGCUUAACUAUCGCAGUGCCUUUGAUACUGAUAGGCUUGAAUGUACUUGAGGUAGGCGGAAUGUGACAAGUAGCGGUGAAAUGCAUAGAUAUGUCACAGAACACCAAUUGCGAAGGCAGCUUACUAAAGUAUGAUUGACGCUGAGGCACGAAGGCGUGGGGAUCAAACAGG